UGGUUUCAAACGACGGACCUUGCACUUAGCAGCUCGAUAUGGAAGCACUCCGCCACCAGGUGAUUGGAAUCGGCUUGAUGGCACAGAGCAAGAUAUACAUGGCUGACAACUGAGAAUGUUUCCCAUUCUCAGAUCUCCUUGGCAGACGACAAUAUGUAGCUAGAGGAGGGACCAGGCUCUGGAGAAGGACCUCAUGGUUGGAGACGUAGAGGGGAAGAGCCUUGACAAGAGGGACUGGCACGGUGGCUGCCACGCUGGGCUUGGAUAUGCGGGACCGGGUGGUGUCUCCUUCUGUGAAGUCCAAGGUCACCAGGAGUUGGAAAUGACUCAACAGCUCCAGCUUCAGGAAACAGUCGUCAGCUUCGAUGUGUGCGAUUCAGUGACACAGACUUUGAGUGUGGAUUUUUCCAGAAGUCUACACCUGAAAGUACUUCCUGAACAAGAGACUCAGUGAGAGGAAGCCACGGUAAGGAAGGAAACAGAAGCUGGAUGACCAGCCACGUGGUCAAGGUCAUCCUUGCUGAAUGAUGCAUUUACCCAGGGGGUUAUUCCCGGGCCACUUCCAUAAGGAUGAGAGGGAUGUGAGCUCUUUUCAGUAAUGAACAUCGUCUGUGCAUAUAGAUGCUACCUGCCCACGGGGCAUGCUUGGAACACAGUCCUAGCGCAGUCUUCUAAGGAAGAUGCACACAGGUCAAGAGGGUUCCAAGGAGGCCCACGGAGACCCAGUCAGCGCGUGGAGAGGUGGAAGCCAGCAGCUCACUUCCGUGCUCAGGGGCGCACUGCUCCCCCAUCCUGCAGGAGGGAGGGUUCCGCCGCCUCAGAGUUCGGGUGGCAGCCUUCCCGUCGUCACAGCGUUGGUGAAGUGGCAGCCAGAAGCACAGCUUUUGCUUUGACUGUGGGUGUGGGAAAGGGACUCAGCGGUCUUCCUUCCCUAAGAGGAGGGACAUAUUUAGAGGUAGCAUUUGUCUCAGGAUCUGUAGGGCUUGAUAGGUGGGGUGGACAGAGGAUGGACUUGGCGUGGGGCUCGGAGGCAUCCCUGUCUGUUGGUCAAGCCUACCAAAUAGGGCACCAGCACCAGCACUCUCAAGUCUGGGUACCACGGAUGAUGCGCUCCCCCCACCCCGUGACACCCACCCUAGAGAGCCUCAGACAGAAGCACACUGUUGAAGAUGGCCAGGCCUGAUGGUAUUUGUUGUGUUGCAUGAGGUACUUGGAUUCAGGACUGGCUGGCACCUAACAAAACCACAGAGGCACCCAGAGCUGAGCUGUUUCGACCAACAGAGGGUACGCUUGUUCCUGUUUGGAUGUGUCUUACGGGUUUUCGCUUUUUUUUUUUUCAAAAAAGAGAAAACUUUUCUCCCCCUAUCUAUUUUAAAGUCAUUAUACAUUCUGCGGCUUGGUCUUAACACCAUUCUUCACAGCUUAAGAAGCCUUGCCAGUUCCGUGACCCAUCUCCCUUCCUCCUCUCUUCCCUCCUCAGUCACACCCCCAAUAAACGCAAAUCUGCUGAAGUUCCCAGCACUCAGGGGUCUCCCCAUUCAAACACCCUCCUGACAGAAGGUAUCAAUUUACAGUCCCACCCCCUGCAGGGGAGAGGGUCCCUUUGACCCCCACAAACACUCAGCAUUGGAAUUAAUUUUUAAAGGGCCUUUGCCAAUUUAAUAAGGGCAAAAUGGCAUCUCGUUUGUUGCUUUGAGUUGAGCUAUUUAUGGAAUGUCAGUGCAUGUAUUUCAUCCGUUUUGCAGUUUGAGUAUUAGAAUUCUAAAGACAAACGUUCAGCAACUUAAAAAGAAAAAGAUCAGUUCUGUGUUUUUUAAAACAAGCCCCCAGCUUGUGUCCUUAUGUGUCUCCUGUAUGUCAUUCAGCAUAGCAUUUUUGCUUUUUAAAUUUUCUAUUGUGAUUAGGCGAGGGUUUGCAUUUUGUAUUCUACAGUUUUAACAAGUUAUCAGCCUUCCCACUUAGCAGCCUGCCCUGCACCCCCAUUUUCUCAUCUUCCUCUUGUCAGGUGCUACCCACCCCCUCACCAAGUUGUCACCUCUCUACCCUCUACCCAUUUAUCCCCAAUACCCCUCCCUUCCCCUCCUACCACCGGCAGCCAUCAAAGUCGAUUUCUUUGGGUAUAAUACCCUUUAUCCUAAUUUCUUAUAACAGUGACCUCGUACCAUAGUUUGUGUUUGACUGACCUCACUCAGCGUAAUGCCCUCUGAAUCCAUCCAUGUCAGCAGGUGCUUCACAGGUUCACCGUUAUUUUUAGUGACGCGCAGUUUUCCACCGCGUGUGGGUACCAGAGUUUAUGCGUUCAUUCUUCUGCUGACAGAAGGAUUUUGGUUGUUCCCAUCUUCUUGCUUUUGUUAACAGUGCUGCAAUGAACAUGAGUGGGCAUAGACCUGUUUGCGCUGUGUUUGUUCUUUCUCUUUUUAAAAUUGUGAAUUAGGUGUGAGUAUUUCUGUAGAACAUAUCCCAAGAGAGGGAUUGCUGGGUCGUAUGAGAUUCCCAAUUGUUUGAGGAAGCACCAUAUUGCUCUCCACAGUAGCUGUAGUGUUUUAUAGUCCCACCAGCAAUGAACGAGGCUUCUAAUCUCACCAGACCCUCUCCAGCAUUUGUCAUUUUCUUUCUUUUUUAAAAUAAAUCAU
Long non-coding RNA from Echinops telfairi (small Madagascar hedgehog), 2633 nucleotides. RefSeq lists it as uncharacterized. The transcript is spliced from 4 exons. The record is from RefSeq and is a predicted model, not a curated record. NCBI's taxonomy places the organism in Eukaryota, Metazoa, Chordata, Mammalia, Afrosoricida, Tenrecidae.